CAGUAGCCGCGGUAAUACGAAGGGGGCUAGCGCUGUUCGGAUUUACUGGGCGUAAAGGGCGCGUAGGCGGACUGAUAAGUCAGGGGUGAAAUCCCAAGGCUCAACCUUGGAACUGCCUUUGAUACUGUUAGUCUUGAGUUCGAGAGAGGUAAGUGGAACUGCGAGUGUAGAGGUGAAAUUCGUAGAUAUUCGGAAGAACACCAGUGGCGAAGGCGGCUCACUGGACUGGUAUUGACGCUGAGGUGCGAAAGCGUGGGGAGCAAACAGGAUUAGAUACCCGAGUAGUCCCUGUCUCUUAUAA
RNAcentral lists this ribosomal RNA (301 nucleotides) under uncultured bacterium. RNAcentral describes it as "partial 16S ribosomal RNA". It matches the Rfam family "Bacterial small subunit ribosomal RNA", at positions 509 to 809 of the family's 1533-position model. The record is from RNAcentral.